Molecule: long non-coding RNA, 179 nt
Organism: Amblyraja radiata (thorny skate)
Lineage: Eukaryota; Metazoa; Chordata; Chondrichthyes; Rajiformes; Rajidae
Exons: 3
Source: RefSeq, a predicted model, not a curated record
AUAUACAGCAAUAGAAGUUUGCAAAGGUGAUGGGAAGACUGGAGGAACGACAAGGAGCUGAAAGCUCUCUUAUACUUGCAUUAAGGAGGCAAUUAAACACACCUGAGCAAUUACAAACACCUGUUAAGCCAUGCGUCCCAAACAUUAUGGUGCCCUGAAAUGGGGGGACUUUGUACAAA